Molecule: long non-coding RNA, 873 nt
Organism: Neofelis nebulosa (Clouded leopard)
Lineage: Eukaryota; Metazoa; Chordata; Mammalia; Carnivora; Felidae
Exons: 3
Source: RefSeq, a predicted model, not a curated record
CACUGAUUCAGAGGCUUUGCCAGGAGAGGCCUUGGAUAUGGAGUCUGGCGCCCCUUCACCAAAUGCGUGCUCAAGCACUGGCCCUGAGGCCAGCGGGAUUUGUGUGAACCCUUUCAAGAGGUUCCUGAAGUUCGAGAAUCCCUUCACGCCUGCGGAGGAGUCCAGGCCUCAAGGAGAGAGGGCUGUGUUUCACAGAGCCCGAGGGCUCUUCAGAAGAGAUCUCACAUUUAAAAACUCCGUUGGUGCAGGCGGGAUAGAGGGAAGCUAACCAGGCAGAUUUCAGCCAUCCGUUUCCGGUCCAAUGCUACUUCUACCUGACCGUCUAUCGAAUAUUUGAAGACAGCUAUCACAUAUCAAUAGGCUUUUCCUCUCAAGCUAAUCAUCCCACAUUUCCUAUCUAUCCCUCAGAAGAUACGAUAGUGGGUCCCUUCGUCAUUCCGACCUGUUUCCACAGCAUGCUCCACGUGACCCAUCUCCUUCGCGUGGCUGUACCUGAGCAAACCUCUAGACAGGCGAGUUGCAAAGGCAGGACUUGGGAUCUGUCUCAAUCGUCUCAGUACUUCCUGUUCCCCCAAGUUAUCAUAACGUGAGCCCACGGACGGAGAUAUAACCACAUGUGGCCAUUGACUCUUCUCCCAUGCGAACACCCCGGGACCCAAACACAGUGAAUCCGUUUAAGGCAGGAUACUAAAGUGGUUAAAUGGGGGCUAUGGCAGGUCUGCUUCUAUAGCCUGUUUCUUCUGCGUAUUAGCUGGGUGACUUUGGGGAAAUCGUUUGAUCUCUGAAAUUCUAUUUUCUCGUCUGUAACAUGAAUAAAAUCACAGUCCUUAUUUCAUAAAUUGUGCAUUAAUUAAAUGAGGUCAUGCAUGCAAA